This 88-nucleotide transfer RNA is filed under the name Candidatus Curtissbacteria bacterium RIFCSPLOWO2_01_FULL_41_18. RNAcentral's name for it is "tRNA-Leu". It matches the Rfam family "tRNA". Rfam says of the family: Transfer RNA (tRNA) molecules are approximately 80 nucleotides in length. Their secondary structure includes four short double-helical elements and three loops (D, anti-codon, and T loops). Further hydrogen bonds mediate the characteristic L-shaped molecular structure. tRNAs have two regions of fundamental functional importance: the anti-codon, which is responsible for specific mRNA codon recognition, and the 3' end, to which the tRNAs corresponding amino acid is attached (by aminoacyl-tRNA synthetases). tRNAs cope with the degeneracy of the genetic code in two manners: having more than one tRNA (with a specific anti-codon) for a particular amino acid; and 'wobble' base-pairing, i.e. permitting non-standard base-pairing at the 3rd anti-codon position. Lineage: Bacteria; Candidatus Curtissiibacteriota. The record is from RNAcentral.
GCCGUGGUGGCGGAAUAGGUAUACGCGCAGGACUUAAAAUCCUGUGGUCGAAUAGACCUUGCGGGUUCGAGUCCCGCCCUCGGCACUA